GCAGUCAGACCUAGCCCGCGCCCCCGUAGCCGCCUCCUCUCCUGCCGCCGCCGCCUCGGCCUUGUUCGCCUCCUCUCCUGCCGCCGCCACCGCCUUGGCCUCGGCGCCCAUGCUCUCCCGGCGCCCGUCGGCCUCGACCCGGCCUCAGUAGGAGGAGCUCGGCCUCGAGACUCGGCAGGAGGAGCUCGCCCUCGAGUAGGACUCAACAGGAGGAGGGGAGCAGCAGCUGCGCCCCAUGCUCUCUCGCCACCCUCGAGGUGAAGGUAACGGAUGAAAUCCCAUGGACGAGCUCGAGCUGGAAGGACGCGGACGGCAGCGGCUUGGACCAACAUCGUCCUGCCGGUGCCUUGCCGGUGAGCGCCACGCAUGGUGCAGCAGGCGGCAGGCACGACUUUGGGAGCUGCGCAUCGAGCGACGACUACUGCAUCUGCCUCCAGCACCAAGCCAAGAUGUAGAGCGGUGGUCGACGGCGGCAACCUGCUCCCAAGUUGCAAGUGAUGUUGCCAGAUAGCAGUAUACCAAGGGUUCUAAGAAUUUGAUUCAUAAAUGUAGCCAAGAUGCAGCGCGGUGGUCGACGGCGGCGGCCUGCUCCCAAGUUGCAGGUGCGUGCAUGGACAUCUUCAUGAUUACUGAUUAUAAGAUCUUCAUGAUUACUGAUUAUAAGUGAACACACGUAUCUUCUCUCGAGGUUCUGAGUGUUGAGAGUGGUUGCUCAUUGUUUCUGUAUUCAAAUACUGAUGAAUCAACACUUCCAAAAGAUAUACUGAUGGCCAAAGAAGAUUGGGGAAGUUCCACUAUGUUCCUACAGACUGUUGGCCAAAAAAGAUUGGGGGAAAAUAGCUCUGGAGAAGGAUUGAGAUGAAAAUGGGAUUGGGAUCUCACUUCGCAAUGCAUUGAAGAAUCAUGAUAAUUUAUACAGCCUGUUCUUUCUUUAGUACCAAUGAAUAACUUGGUUACACAAUAUACUUGAAGAUUGCAUUAGGAACAAAAUGCUUAGCAGACCAAACUAAUUAGGUAAGCUGAGAGCUGAUUGGUCUAACCCUAGAAUAAUUGGUUGCCAGUCAUAGAAUCAUCUUGUACUGUUGUACAUAACUAAUUUUGACUUGAACUUUGGUGUGGUCGUGUAUCUUUGAAGUUUUCUGGAGACAGACUACUCUUGCAUCAUUAUGUGCAACCCACAUGUAUCUCACUCGGCGAGAC
This is a long non-coding RNA of Triticum aestivum (bread wheat), 1200 nucleotides long. RefSeq lists it as uncharacterized. The transcript has 5 exons. The record is from RefSeq and is a predicted model, not a curated record. NCBI's taxonomy places the organism in Eukaryota, Viridiplantae, Streptophyta, Magnoliopsida, Poales, Poaceae.